GAUGAACGCUGGCGGCGUGCCUAAUACAUGCAAGUCGAGCGAACGGACGAGAAGCUUGCUUCUCUGAUGUUAGCGGCGGACGGGUGAGUAACACGUGGAUAACCUACCUAUAAGACUGGGAUAACUUCGGGAAACCGGAGCUAAUACCGGAUAAUAUUUUGAACCGCAUGGUUCAAAAGUGAAAGACGGUCUUGCUGUCACUUAUAGAUGGAUCCGCGCUGCAUUAGCUAGUUGGUAAGGUAACGGCUUACCAAGGCAACGAUGCAUAGCCGACCUGAGAGGGUGAUCAGCCACACUGGAACUGAGACACGGUACAGACUCCUACGGGAAGCAGCAGUAGGGAAUCUUGCGCAAUGGGCGAAAGCCUGACGGAGCAACGCCGCGUGAGUGAUGAAGGUCUUAGGAUCGUAAAACGCUGUUAUUAGGGAAGAACAUAUGUGUAAGUAACUGUGAACAAAUUGACGGUACCUAAUCAGAAAGCCACGGCUAACUACGUG
Molecule: ribosomal RNA, 497 nt
Filed under: uncultured bacterium
Lineage: Bacteria
Description: partial 16S ribosomal RNA
Rfam family: Bacterial small subunit ribosomal RNA
Source: RNAcentral